AACGAACGCUGGCGGCAGGCUUAACACAUGCAAGUCGAACGCCCCGCAAGGGGAGUGGCAGACGGGUGAGUAACGCGUGGGAACAUACCCUUUCCUGCGGAAUAGCUCCGGGAGACUGGAAUUAAUACCGCAUACGCCCUACGGGGGAAAGAUUUAUCGGGGAAGGAUUGGCCCGCGUUGGAUUAGCUAGUUGGUGGGGUAAAGGCCUACCAAGGCGACGAUCCAUAGCUGGUCUGAGAGGAUGAUCAGCCACAUUGGGACUGAGACACGGCCCAAACUCCUACGGGAAGCAGCAGUGGGGAAUAUUGGACAAUGGGCGCAAGCCUGAUCCAGCCAUGCCGCGUGAGUGAUGAAGGCCUUAGGGUUGUAAAGCUCUUUCACCGAUGAAGAUAAUGACGGUAGUCGGAGAAGAAGCCCCGGCUAACUUCGUG
Molecule: ribosomal RNA, 431 nt
Filed under: uncultured bacterium
Lineage: Bacteria
Description: partial 16S ribosomal RNA
Rfam family: Bacterial small subunit ribosomal RNA
Source: RNAcentral